Molecule: long non-coding RNA, 486 nt
Organism: Carcharodon carcharias (great white shark)
Lineage: Eukaryota; Metazoa; Chordata; Chondrichthyes; Lamniformes; Lamnidae
Exons: 3
Source: RefSeq, a predicted model, not a curated record
GUGAAGGCGGUUGGAGCUUAGUGUGAGAGAAGCUGAAUGGAUUUUUUUUUAGUGAGGAGUUGGAUUCAAAAUGAAGCGGUUUCUUUAAUGCAACUGAUUGAUUGAUUGAUUGAAUGAGUGUGAAAUUCUUCCCCAGAAUAUUUUGAAUCUCAGUGAGGGUACUGACAGAUAUUCUUCAAGGGGAACUGCAGCUCACAAAGUAUUCUGUGCAAAAACAGAAUUACCUGGAAAAACUCAGCAGGUCUGGCAGCAUCGGCGGAGAAGAAAAGAGUUGACGUUUCGAGUCCUCAUGACCCUUCGACAGAACUUGCGUUCGAGUCCAAGAAAGAGUUGAAAUAUAAGCUGGUUUAAGAUCAGGGGCCUAAGGACAAUUGUAGAAUUGCCAUCUGAUACUGCUGGAUAUCUCAUCACGUGGUGUAGAUUGAACCUGGUCUCUGGCUGAAUUCCAUACUGUUAUAUUUUUCCAACUGAAAUGUCAAAGGAGCU